UACGUAGGGGGCAAGCGUUAUCCGGAAUUACUGGGUGUAAAGGGAGCGUAGACGGUGAUGUAAGUCUGGAGUGAAAGGCGGGGGCCCAACCCCCGGACUGCUCUGGAAACUAUGUGACUGGAGUGCAGGAGAGGUGAGCGGAAUUCCUAGUGUAGCGGUGAAAUGCGUAGAUAUUAGGAGGAACACCAGUGGCGAAGGCGGCUCACUGGACUGUAACUGACGUUGAGGCUCGAAAGCGUGGAGAGCAAACAGG
This 253-nucleotide ribosomal RNA is filed under the name uncultured bacterium. RNAcentral describes it as "partial 16S ribosomal RNA". It matches the Rfam family "Bacterial small subunit ribosomal RNA", at positions 524 to 776 of the family's 1533-position model. The record is from RNAcentral.